Molecule: non-coding RNA, 60 nt
Organism: Loxodonta africana (African savanna elephant)
Lineage: Eukaryota; Metazoa; Chordata; Mammalia; Proboscidea; Elephantidae
Source: Rfam
AGUGGCUUACGUGUUUGGCUGCUAACCAAAGGUUCGGUAGUUAGAAUCUACCAGUCACUC